Molecule: long non-coding RNA, 1934 nt
Organism: Erinaceus europaeus (western European hedgehog)
Lineage: Eukaryota; Metazoa; Chordata; Mammalia; Eulipotyphla; Erinaceidae
Exons: 2
Source: RefSeq, a predicted model, not a curated record
GGAGGGUGGGAGAGCUGAUGUUUCUGUUAUGCCGGGAACAAUGUUAAAGCCUUGCACAUAUCUGUAUGACUUAGUUAUUGUAAGCCAAUGAGGUAGGAGAUCGUUGUAGUUCACUACUGAGAUCAGAAAGGUUUAGUCACUUGUGGUUGUGUGCACAAAAAUCCAGUUUGAAGUCAUUUGGGUUACAGAGUCAUUUGAACCAAUUGGACUCCCAAGUUCACAUUCUGCUGUAGCAUUGCACUAAAAAAGGGUUGGUUUUAUUUGUUGGGCUGAGCACAAUAAGGUGCACACCUUACCCAGCAAGUAGAGGCCCAGGGUUCAAGCCCCAGGUCCCUGCCUACAGGGAGGAGAUUUUUUAAGCUUCUAAAAGAAAAAUUGUGAUGAGAUUUUAAAAAAUGGCGAAUUCAUAUUAGGUUGGUCUAGAAAGGGUGUGUUUAAAGAUGACAUUGGCCAUGUAUAGGGAUGUUUGAUAGUUUCUCACUUAAACAGUCUGUAUUGAACUUAAUCUUAGCUCUAGGUAUCAGUGUGUUGAGAGUUGUUGCUGUUGGUUUAUGGUUUAAAGUAUUUGACAUACUAACAUAUGUGCCAAAAGUAAAGCUCACAGUCAAGAUACUUGCUAAGGAAUCCUGAUCUAAUAAACAUCACUUACUAAGUGGGCUUUUUAUGUUGUGUUUACUUGCUACUGUUUCCAUCAGAAUCCAGGGUUGUAGGUGAUUAAAUGUGGAUUGGUAGGCACCACUACAGACCAGCACCAGAAUCUCUGUAGGGGGAGAUAGAGUCUGAUCUGUGCUCCAUUGGAGGAUUUUUUAAACUGCUGUUGCUGUGCCAAGCUUUUGCUUUAUAUGUGAGGGAGAUUUGAUAGGUGGGUUCAGCACUGAAGUCUAAUUGGCUGAGCUGUUUCUAUGGUUAGUCUAAACUUAAUUUGAUUGGUGGAUUCAAGGAGUGAGCAUCCAUUAAGUUCUCAGUAAAUUGAAAUUACUGAAAUUUCAAACUACUUAAAUCUUUCAUUGCUGCUACUUACAACUUUAUUUUGUUUUAAUCAUCUUCAGGUGCUGUUUCAUUUGUUGCUACAAUUGCAAGUAAUUUUUCACUAUAUGUAAAACAAACUGCUUAAGCAUUGAUAUAAAGCUGCUAAUUUUGUUUUCUAGUUACUUAAUUGUAGGGCCACAACACUUUACUUCAGAACUCAAUAUUUUUAUAGUUGUGUCAGGGAAUGAGCUUUGUAAAUUGAGAUUACUGAACAACCUGGGUAGAUGACUUGUGUUAACUGACAUGUUAUUUAAGAUCUAUGUUUUUGUUGCCGUGAUUCUAUUUUAAUCAAAAUGGUCUGUAUUCUGCCUCUAGUAAUUUAGCACUAGUAGCUUUUAUUGGAAUAAGUAAUCUUCAUUAGAGUUUUUGCUUUAUUAGAGAUGAAGAAUUUGCCAGUAGAAGUAGAAGGGAGCAAUUGAGAGAGUCAGGCGAUAGUGCAGCGUGUUAAGCACAGAUGGCGCAAAGUGCAAGGACUGGCUUAAGGAUCCCAGUUCAAGCCCCUGGCUCCUCACCUGCAGGGGAGUUGCUUCACAAGCAGUGAAGCAGGUCUGCAGGUGUCUCUGUCUUCCCCCUCCUCUCUCCAUUUCUCUCUUAUCCUAUCCAACAAUGAUGACAUCAAUAACAAUAAAACAAGAGCAACAAAAGGGAAUAAAUAAAUAUUUUUUAAAAAGAGAGCAAUUGAAAUGGAAUUUUAAGAGUCACUAUUUUUUGGCAGUAAAAUUGCAGUUUAGAAAUUAGGGGUUGGUAAACUUAGGUUUAAGCUCAGGUUUAAGCUGGACUCCACCUGUAGGGUAGGGGGGAGGCCAAGGGCUUCACGAAUUAGUACUGCAGGUAUCUUUCUCCAAAUUUCUAUUCAAAAAGCUACCAGGUGCUGAGCCCCAGUGAAAACCCCACUGGCAAUGUUU